This 501-nucleotide ribosomal RNA is filed under the name uncultured bacterium. RNAcentral describes it as "bacterial SSU rRNA". It matches the Rfam family "Bacterial small subunit ribosomal RNA", at positions 20 to 518 of the family's 1533-position model. The record is from RNAcentral.
UGGCUCAGAUUGAACGCUGGCGGCAUGCCUUACACAUGCAAGUCGAACGGUAACAGGUCUCGGAUGCUGACGAGUGGCGAACGGGUGAGUAAUACAUCGGAACGUGCCCAGACGUGGGGGAUAACGAGGCGAAAGCUUUGCUAAUACCGCAUACGAUCUAAGGAUGAAAGCAGGGGACCGCAAGGCCUUGCGCGUUUGGAGCGGCCGAUGGCAGAUUAGGUAGUUGGUGGGAUAAAAGCUUACCAAGCCGACGAUCUGUAGCUGGUCUGAGAGGACGACCAGCCACACUGGGACUGAGACACGGCCCAGACUCCUACGGGAGGCAGCAGUGGGGAAUUUUGGACAAUGGGCGAAAGCCUGAUCCAGCAAUGCCGCGUGCCAGGAUGAAGGCCUUCGGGUUGUAAACUGCUUUUGUACGGAACGAAAAGGCUCUGGUUAAUACCUGGGGCACAUGACGGUACCGUAAGAAUAAGCACCGGCUAACUACGUGCCAGCCGCAGC